CCCGCACAAGCGGUGGAGCAUGUGGUUUAAUUCGAUGAUACGCGAGGAACCUUACCUGGGCUCAAAUGUAUGUUGACGUAUUCUGAAAGGGAUACUUCUUCGGACAAUAUACAAGGUGCUGCAUGGUUGUCGUCAGCUCGUGCCGUGAGGUGUCGGGUUAAGUCCCAUAACGAGCGCAACCCCUAUCAUUAGUUGCCAUCAGGUCAAGCUGGGGACUCUAAUGAAACUGCCUACGCAAGUAGUGAGGAAGGUGGGGAUGACGUCAAAUCAUCAUGCCCCUUAUGAUCUGGGCUACACACGUGCUACAAUGGCCGGUACAACGGGCAGCGAAGGAGCGAUCCGGAGCGAAUCCUAAAAAGCCGGUCCCAGUUCGGAUUGCAGGCUGAAACUCGCCUACAUGAAGUUGGAGUUGCUAGUAAUCGCGAAUCAGAAUGUCGCGGUGAAUGCGUUCCCGGGUCUU
Molecule: ribosomal RNA, 460 nt
Filed under: uncultured Sphingobacteriales bacterium
Lineage: Bacteria; Pseudomonadati; Bacteroidota; Sphingobacteriia; Sphingobacteriales
Description: bacterial SSU rRNA
Rfam family: Bacterial small subunit ribosomal RNA
Source: RNAcentral